ACACGUCUACAUUAGAUACCCCCGUAGUCCCAGCCGUAAACUAUGCGCGUUAGGUGUAUCGGUGACCACGAGUCACCGAGGUGCCGAAGGGAAACCGUGAAACGUGCCGCCUGGGAAGUACGGUCGCAAGGCUGAAACUUAAAGGAAUUGGCGGGGAGCACCACAACGGGUGGAGCCUGCGGUUUAAUUGGACUCAACGCCGGGAAGCUCACCGGAUAAGACAGCGGAAUGAUUGCCGGGCUGAAGACUCUGCAUGACUAGCUG
Molecule: ribosomal RNA, 264 nt
Filed under: uncultured archaeon
Lineage: Archaea
Description: partial 16S ribosomal RNA
Rfam family: Archaeal small subunit ribosomal RNA
Source: RNAcentral